CAGCAGCCGCGGUAAUACGUAGGUGGCAAGCGUUGUCCGGAAUUAUUGGGCGUAAAGCGCGCGCAGGCGGAUAGGUCAGUCUGUCUUAAAAGUUCGGGGCUUAACCCCGUUAUGAGAUGGAAACUGCCAAUCUAGAGUAUCGGAGAGGAAAGUGGAAUUCCUAGUGUAGCGGUGAAAUGCGUAGAUAUUAGGAAGAACACCAGUGGCGAAGGCGACUUUCUGGACGAAAACUGACGCUGAGGCGCGAAAGCCAGGGGAGCGAACGGGAUUAGAUACCCCCGUAGUCCCUGUCUCUUAUACA
Molecule: ribosomal RNA, 301 nt
Filed under: uncultured bacterium
Lineage: Bacteria
Description: partial 16S ribosomal RNA
Rfam family: Bacterial small subunit ribosomal RNA
Source: RNAcentral